This 443-nucleotide ribosomal RNA is filed under the name uncultured bacterium. RNAcentral's name for it is "partial 16S ribosomal RNA". It matches the Rfam family "Bacterial small subunit ribosomal RNA", at positions 338 to 795 of the family's 1533-position model. The record is from RNAcentral.
CCUACGGGAGGCAGCAGUGGGGAAUAUUGGGCAAUGGGCGCAAGCCUGACCCAGCAACGCCGCGUGAAGGAAGAAGGCUUUCGGGUUGUAAACUUCUUUUCGCAGGGACGAAGCAAGUGACGGUACCGGAGGAAUAAGCCACGACUAACUACGUGCCAGCAGCCGCGGUAAUACGGAGGUGGCAGUCGUUAGCCGGAUUUACUGGGUGUAAGGGGCGCGUAGGCGGGAAGGCAAGUCAGAUGUGAAAACCAUGGGCUCAACCUGUCGACUGCAUUUGAAACUGUUUUUCUUGAGUACUGGAGAGGCAGAUGGAAUUCCGGGUGUAGCGGUGAAAUGCGUAGAUAUUAGGAGGAACACCAGUGGCGAAGGCGGUCUGCUGGCCAGCAACUGACGCUGAGGAGCGAAAGCGUGGGGAGCAAACAGGAUUAGAUACCCGAGUAGUC